RNAcentral lists this ribosomal RNA (573 nucleotides) under Colletotrichum boninense. Its description in RNAcentral is "eukaryotic LSU rRNA". The stretch from base 222 to 375 matches the Rfam family "5.8S ribosomal RNA". The record is from RNAcentral. Lineage: Eukaryota; Fungi; Ascomycota; Sordariomycetes; Glomerellales; Glomerellaceae.
UCCGUUGGUGAACCAGCGGAGGGAUCAUUACUGAGUUACCGCUCUAUAACCCUUUGUGAACAUACCUACAACUGUUGCUUCGGCGGGUAGGCCGUCCCCUGAAAAGGACGCCUCCCGGCCCGGACCGGACCCCCCGCGGGACCGGACCCGGCGCCCGCCGGAGGAUAACCAAACUCUAUUGUAACGACGUUUCUUCUGAGUGGCAUAAGCAAAAUAAUCAAAACUUUUAACAACGGAUCUCUUGGUUCUGGCAUCGAUGAAGAACGCAGCGAAAUGCGAUAAGUAAUGUGAAUUGCAGAAUUCAGUGAAUCAUCGAAUCUUUGAACGCACAUUGCGCCCGCCAGCAUUCUGGCGGGCAUGCCUGUUCGAGCGUCAUUUCAACCCUCAAGCUCUGCUUGGUGUUGGGGCUCUACGGUCGACGUAGGCCCUCAAAGGUAGUGGCGGACCCUCCCGGAGCCUCCUUUGCGUAGUAACAUUUCGUCUCGCACUGGGAUCCGGAGGGACUCUUGCCGUAAAACCCCCCAAUUUUCCAAAGGUUGACCUCGGAUCAGGUAGGAAUACCCGCUGAACUUA